Molecule: ribosomal RNA, 786 nt
Filed under: Bacillus subtilis
Lineage: Bacteria; Bacillati; Bacillota; Bacilli; Caryophanales; Bacillaceae
Description: bacterial SSU rRNA
Rfam family: Bacterial small subunit ribosomal RNA
Source: RNAcentral
GCUAUACAUGCAGUCGAGCGGACAGAUGGGAGCUUGCUCCCUGAUGUGUAGCGGCGGACGGGUGAGUAACACGUGGGUAACCUGCCUGUAAGACUGGGAUAACUCCGGGAAACCGGGGCUAAUACCGGAUGGUUGUUUGAACCGCAUGGUUCAAACAUAAAAGGUGGCUUCGGCUACCACUUACAGAUGGACCCGCGGCGCAUUAGCUAGUUGGUGAGGUAACGGCUCACCAAGGCAACGAUGCGUAGCCGACCUGAGAGGGUGAUCGGCCACACUGGGACUGAGACACGGCCCAGACUCCUACGGGAGGCAGCAGUAGGGAAUCUUCCGCAAUGGACGAAAGUCUGACGGAGCAACGCCGCGUGAGUGAUGAAGGUUUUCGGAUCGUAAAGCUCUGUUGUUAGGGAAGAACAAGUACCGUUCGAAUAGGGCGGUACCUUGACGGUACCUAACCAGAAAGCCACGGCUAACUACGUGCCAGCAGCCGCGGUAAUACGUAGGUGGCAAGCGUUGUCCGGAAUUAUUGGGCGUAAAGGGCUCGCAGGCGGUUUCUUAAGUCUGAUGUGAAAGCCCCCGGCUCAACCGGGGAGGGUCAUUGGAAACUGGGGAACUUGAGUGCAGAAGAGGAGAGUGGAAUUCCACGUGUAGCGGUGAAAUGCGUAGAGAUGUGGAGGAACACCAGUGGCGAAGGCGACUCUCUGGUCUGUAACUGACGCUGAGGAGCGAAAAGCGUGGGGAGCGAAACAGGAUUAAGAUACCCUGGUAGUCCACGCCGUAAACGAUGAG